This 1371-nucleotide ribosomal RNA is filed under the name uncultured bacterium. RNAcentral describes it as "bacterial SSU rRNA". It matches the Rfam family "Bacterial small subunit ribosomal RNA", at positions 28 to 1381 of the family's 1533-position model. The record is from RNAcentral.
GAUGAACGCUGGCGGCGUGCCUAAUACAUGCAAGUCAAGCGAACAGAUAAGGAGCUUGCUCCUUUGAAGUUAGCGGCGGACGGGUGAGUAACACGUGGGUAACCUACCUAUAAGACUGGGAUAACUUCGGGAAACCGGAGCUAAUACCGGAUAACAUUUAGAACCGCAUGGUUCUAAAGUGAAAGAUGGUUUUGCUAUCACUUAUAGAUGGACCCGCGCCGUAUUAGCUAGUUGGUAAGGUAACGGCUUACCAAGGCGACGAUACGUAGCCGACCUGAGAGGGUGAUCGGCCACACUGGAACUGAGACACGGUCCAGACUCCUACGGGAGGCAGCAGUAGGGAAUCUUCCGCAAUGGGCGAAAGCCUGACGGAGCAACGCCGCGUGAGUGAUGAAGGGUUUCGGCUCGUAAAACUCUGUUAUUAGGGAAGAAUAAAUGUGUAAGUAACUGUGCACAUCUUGACGGUACCUAAUCAGAAAGCCACGGCUAACUACGUGCCAGCAGCCGCGGUAAUACGUAGGUGGCAAGCGUUAUCCGGAAUUAUUGGGCGUAAAGCGCGCGUAGGCGGUUUCUUAAGUCUGAUGUGAAAGCCCACGGCUCAACCGUGGAGGGUCAUUGGAAACUGGGAAACUUGAGUGCAGAAGAGGAAAGUGGAAUUCCAUGUGUAGCGGUGAAAUGCGCAGAGAUAUGGAGGAACACCAGUGGCGAAGGCGACUUUCUGGUCUGUAACUGACGCUGAUGUGCGAAAGCGUGGGGAUCAAACAGGAUUAGAUACCCUGGUAGUCCACGCCGUAAACGAUGAGUGCUAAGUGUUAGGGGUUUCCGCCCCUUAGUGCUGCAGCUAACGCAUUAAGCACUCCGCCUGGGGAGUACGACCGCAAGGUUGAAACUCAAAGGAAUUGACGGGGACCCGCACAAGCGGUGGAGCAUGUGGUUUAAUUCGAAGCAACGCGAAGAACCUUACCAAAUCUUGACAUCCUUUGAAAACUCUAGAGAUAGAGCCUUCCCCUUCGGGGGACAAAGUGACAGGUGGUGCAUGGUUGUCGUCAGCUCGUGUCGUGAGAUGUUGGGUUAAGUCCCGCAACGAGCGCAACCCUUAAGCUUAGUUGCCAUCAUUAAGUUGGGCACUCUAGGUUGACUGCCGGUGACAAACCGGAGGAAGGUGGGGAUGACGUCAAAUCAUCAUGCCCCUUAUGAUUUGGGCUACACACGUGCUACAAUGGACAAUACAAAGGGCAGCUAAACCGCGAGGUCAUGCAAAUCCCAUAAAGUUGUUCUCAGUUCGGAUUGUAGUCUGCAACUCGACUACAUGAAGCUGGAAUCGCUAGUAAUCGUAGAUCAGCAUGCUACGGUGAAUACGUUCCCGGGUCU